CUUCACUUGGCACGACCACCACGUCCCCAACAGGGACGCUCACUUCGGCAUUUGCCAUCUCUCACAUGAAGUCGAAGGGUCGGGUCGAGCUCAGAUGGAACACAAAAUGAAACUGCCUGUAGUGCCUGGUUUCUGGACCAGUCAUUGCAAAAAACAGUGCCAGCUAGGUCAGAGUUAGUGUACACAGGCUGAGUUUUGGCUACAGAUGCAGAAGUGCAGAGAGAGUGGGUUUUAAGAUGAGGUCACUUUAUUUUCCCCUAGUUGCAAGAUUCCUAACAGGUAUUCUGAUGAUAUUGUCUUUUCCUAUCAGUAAAAUACUUGGCCCAGACCAUUUCUGCUGCGUGUAAGUAGUAGCAUAGGCCUGUGUUUCUGCCAUCAUAGAAAAAACUGAUAAAGGAAAGUGUUUUGCUGAAAACACCUCUGGUAUUGGCUGCGCUUGACUGGAAUUUUCUCUAGGGUUCACAUGGAAAAAUAUAAACAUAAUUUGAUUAGCAAAGGGACUGAUUUUGUUUCAUUAUCCUUGCCUUGAAAAAUUAUGGAGAGAGGAAAACAAAUUACAUCAUUUGUAUAUUGUGGUCCAGGCUUUAAUUCAGUCUUCCACAAAUUUGCCCCAGACUGUCUGGCUUUCCCUCUGGUCUUCUACAGUCUUAUCAUGCAUGACCUAAGAGUCUUCUCCUUUGCAAGCACUGACACGUGGAACAGCUUCCACAAAGGCUUCUACAUCAUUAACUCUCCCCAGGAAUGAUGCAGCUGGAGAGACCCAUGCUGACACUAAUGGACUGCUGGAGGCAGGGUUUUUUCGGUGACAGAUCUCCAGCUGCGGCAUUUCUUGCUAGGAGAGAGUAAGCCAAGACUAAGCCAAAUCCAUUUAGGCCCAAACUUAAUGCACAACUGAAAAAAACAUAUACCCCCAUUUCAGAAAACUGGAUUAGUCAUUUCAAAUUGAUAUGGUGUCUUUGGAUCAAUAUAACCUGACUACAGAUCUGCAGGUAGCCAUCAACUAGUGGCCUACCAUGAUGGGGACCAUCAAGAUGCUCAACACAGACCUGCUCAAAAAUGCAUCAGUAUCUGAUCAGCCCCAGCUUUAAGUACCUUCUGGCUAAGGGCAAGCAAAACUUGGGGACAUCUGAACCCCAAGCCUCUGGGCUUGGGCCUGCAAGUAGGAUGCCCGCCAAAGGAUUUGGAAACAUCUGAAGCCCCAGGGAGGAUGGAGGAUG
Long non-coding RNA from Gavialis gangeticus (Gharial), 1217 nucleotides. RefSeq lists it as uncharacterized. NCBI's taxonomy places the organism in Eukaryota, Metazoa, Chordata, Crocodylia, Gavialidae. The record is from RefSeq and is a predicted model, not a curated record. The transcript has 3 exons.